UGCUUCCUGUUGUGUUCGAUAUGCAGCGGGUACCUUCGAUCCUAAAUAUACGCUUCGGGGUUAUUCACUUUGUGAUCAUGUGUGCAAAACUAAUUUUAGGCUGCCUGUUGUGAUCUCGGUUUACCCCACUUGAAUCUCCGGUUCGAGAGCGAUGUUGUAUAACGGCAUGAACGGGAAGCAC
RNAcentral lists this non-coding RNA (181 nucleotides) under Woeseiaceae bacterium. RNAcentral describes it as "6S RNA". It matches the Rfam family "6S / SsrS RNA". From Rfam's summary of the family: E. coli 6S RNA was the first non coding RNA to be sequenced, but its function was unknown until recently. It consists of 184 nucleotides that fold into an extended hairpin structure with a large single-stranded internal bulge. Lineage: Bacteria; Pseudomonadati; Pseudomonadota; Gammaproteobacteria; Woeseiales; Woeseiaceae. The record is from RNAcentral.